UCUGUGCUGAGUUUGUGUUCCUUCCAGCUCCCUCGGAGUGGGUGGAUCAGUGCAGCCCAGCCCAGCCUGCCAUUUACUACAUCAUCUUCUGGCUUUCCUCAGCUGCACAGCAGAACAGUCUAGCUCAGCCUGCCAGCUUGCCUGUGCCAGUACACCUCCUGCGUUCCUUCCAGCUCCCUCAGAGUGUUUGAGUGUCCUCCUCCAGCCUGCCGUUUCACUCCCCUUCCGCUGGCUUCUCUCGGUAAUUCAGCAUAGGGGUCUAUCCCCUAACGCCAGCCUUUCUGCCAUCCAGAUAGUGGGGUCCUGCAGGAACAGGUUGGACUCCCCCAAUUGUAUUCCAUCUCCCAUGAUGCACUACAGCCAUAGGAUUGCCAUGAUGCACUGCCUCCCCUCUUAAAGAGUAAAGACCGUGGGUGGUGUGAAAGCGAAGAGGAGAGUCGUCACGUUUGCAGCAGCCAUUACUAUUGUAAGGAUUCUACAAAAAGAGGAAUUUUGUUUGUUCCAAGAGGUCAUCUGCUUCUUCUCCUUAUUCCUCAUCUGAACUGAAUGAUGUCAGAAUCCAGAGAUGUAAGAUGAAUUUUCCUAGCCAAUUUCCAAUCUGAAAGGCUCCAAAAUAGAACAGCAAUAUUUGACUCCAUCUAAACUCCAUUCCACAGCUUACUAUCAGCCAUGGGAAUUUACAAGCAUUCCAAAGAGGCUGAGGAAAUCCAGGAAACCACAAUGACAGCUCUACUUGAAAAAGACCAUUAUAUGAUAGUGACUUGAGAGAGAAAAUACAGCAUAUUUUACCUCAUUCAUGAAAGAUUAGAAAUAUCACUUAUAUUAAACUGUUUGGUUUAAUAAAUGAUUUGGUUUUAAUUAGAGCUGGCCAGGAAUUUUUUGAUAGAAUGUUUUUUGUUGGAAAAUGACAGUUUGUUGAAACCAAAACUUUGUGCAGGAAUGUAGCAGGUUCAACAACGUUUUCAAGAGAGGUUUCUGAGGUACAAGAUGGAAUAUGUAGUCCCAGAGGGAGAGAGACAGACAGACAGAUACCAGAA
Trachemys scripta elegans is the source of this 1037-nucleotide long non-coding RNA. RefSeq lists it as uncharacterized. The record is from RefSeq and is a predicted model, not a curated record. NCBI's taxonomy places the organism in Eukaryota, Metazoa, Chordata, Testudines, Emydidae. The transcript is spliced from 4 exons.